RNAcentral lists this ribosomal RNA (611 nucleotides) under uncultured bacterium. RNAcentral's name for it is "bacterial SSU rRNA". It matches the Rfam family "Bacterial small subunit ribosomal RNA", at positions 338 to 1363 of the family's 1533-position model. The record is from RNAcentral.
CCUACGGGAGGCAGCAGUAGGGAAUAUUGGGCAAUGGAGGCAACUCUGACCCAGCCAUGCCGCGUGCAGGAUGAAGGCGUUAUGCGUUGUAAACUGCUUUUAUAUAGGAAGAAAGAGUUCUUGCGAGAACAGUUGACGGUACUAUAUGAAUAAGCACCGGCUAACUCCGUGCCAGCAGCCGCGGUAAUACGGAGGGUGCAAGCGUUGUCCGGAUUUAUUGGGUUUAAAGGGUGCGUAGGCGGUUUAUUAAGUCAGUGGUGAAAGACGGUCGCUCAACGAUUGCAGUGCCAUUGAUACUGGUAGACUUGAGUGAGAUUGAGGUAGCUGGAAUGGAUAGUGUAGCGGUGAAAUGCAUAGAUAUUAUCCAGAACACCAAUUGCGUAGGCAAGUUACUAAGUCUCAACUGACGCUGAGGCACGAAAGUGUGGGUAUCAAACAGGAUUAGAUACCCUGGUAGUCCACACUGUAAACGAUGAUAACUAACUGUUGGCUUUCGGGUCAGUGGUACAGAGAAAUCGUUAAGUUAUCCACCUGGGGAGUACGCCGGCAACGGUGAAACUUAAAGAGUAGUAGGACGUGAGAGAGACGACGACGACGACGAGGAGGAGGAG